This is a non-coding RNA of Pogona vitticeps (central bearded dragon), 496 nucleotides long. The record is from the annotation of a RefSeq genome assembly. Lineage: Eukaryota; Metazoa; Chordata; Lepidosauria; Squamata; Agamidae.
AUGUUCAGCUACGUACAACCUUGCCACACAGAGCCCUCCAAGGCAGUCCCUAGAGCCAUUGAAACAGUCAGAGACAUGACCCUUUGGUUGAAUCUUCUCCUGUUCUCUGCCUUUUUCUCAGAAUGUCGUUCAGAGGUUCAGCUGGUGGAGACUGGAGGAGGUGUUGUGUCCCCAGGAGGCUCCCUCCGCCUCACCUGCAAAGCUUCAGGAUUCACUUUUAGUGACUACAGCAUGCAUUGGGUCCGUCAGGCUGCCGGGAAAGGCCUCGAGUGGGUGGCAGGAAUAAGUUAUGAUAGUGCUUAUCAGUGGUAUAACUCCAAGGUUCAGGGAAGAUUCACCAUCUCCAGAGACAACGCUCAGAGUUCAGUGGAUCUGCGGAUGGCAAGCUUGAAGCCUGAAGACUCUGCCGUGUAUUACUGUGCAAGGGACACAGUUACAACUUCUGCUUUCAAGCUUGUACAAAAACCUCAGAUCCCCUUGAGUGUGGAGUGUGGAG